AGCUAGUUGGUGAGGUAAUGGCUCACCAAGGCGUCGACGGGUAGCCGGCCUGAGAGGGUGACCGGCCACACUGGGACUGAGACACGGCCCAGACUCCUACGGGAGGCAGCAGUGGGGAAUAUUGCACAAUGGGCGCAAGCCUGAUGCAGCAACGCCGCGUGAGGGACGACGGCCUUCGGGUUGUAAACCUCUUUUAGCAGGGAAGAAGCGAAAGUGACGGUACCUGCAGAAAAAGCACCGGCUAACUACGUGCCAGCAGCCGCGGUAAUACGUAGGGUGCAAGCGUUAUCCGGAAUUAUUGGGCGUAAAGAGCUCGUAGGCGGUUUGUCGCGUCUGCUGUGAAAACUGGGGGCUCAACCCCCAGCCUGCAGUGGGUACGGGCAGACUAGAGUGCGGUAGGGGAGAUUGGAAUUCCUGGUGUAGCGGUGGAAUGCGCAGAUAUCAGGAGGAACACCGAUGGCGAAGGCAGAUCUCUGGGCCGUAACUGACGCUGAGGAGCGAAAGGGUGGGGAGCAAACAGGCUUAGAUACCCUGGUAGUCCACCCCGUAAACGUUGGGAACUAGUUGUGGGGACCAUUCCACGGUUUCCGUGACGCAGCUAACGCAUUAAGUUCCCCGCCUGGGGAGUACGGCCGCAAGGCUAAAACUCAAAGGAAUUGACGGGGACCCGCACAAGCGGCGGAGCAUGCGGAUUAAUUCGAUGCAACGCGAAGAACCUUACCAAGGCUUGACAUAUACGAGAACGGGCUAGAAAUAGUCAACUCUUUGGACACUCGUAAACAGGUGGUGCAUGGUUGUCGUCAGCUCGUGUCGUGAGAUGUUGGGUUAAGUCCCGCAACGAGCGCAACCCUCGUUCUAUGUUGCCAGCACGUAAUGGUGGGAACUCAUGGGAUACUGCCGGGGUCAACUCGGAGGAAGGUGGGGAUGACGUCAAAUCAUCAUGCCCCUUAUGUCUUGGGCUUCACGCAUGCUACAAUGGCCGGUACAAAGGGCUGCAAUACCGUAAGGUGGAGCGAAUCCCAAAAGCCGGUCCCAGUUCGGAUUGAGGUCUGCAACUCGACCUCAUGAAGUCGGAGUCGC
This 1080-nucleotide ribosomal RNA is filed under the name Microbacterium phyllosphaerae. Its description in RNAcentral is "bacterial SSU rRNA". It matches the Rfam family "Bacterial small subunit ribosomal RNA", at positions 243 to 1335 of the family's 1533-position model. Lineage: Bacteria; Bacillati; Actinomycetota; Actinomycetes; Micrococcales; Microbacteriaceae. The record is from RNAcentral.